CUCCUCCAUUUUUCUUUAAUUUCUCUCUUUCUCUCACUACUAAGCCAUAUCUUUUCUCUCCAUGGUUGAUUCAUUCCUACGAUCUGUGGUUGAAGUUGAUGGAUGCUACAAUGAGAGAUUAUGAAUGGACUAUUCAAAGUUACUGCAUUGAAUUGAUAGGGUUCCCUGGCAAUAGGUUGAUAAGACUUCUUACUGGACUAUUAAAAACUCUGGGCCAAAAAAACAAUGUCAAUCAACUUGGGAACUCUACGCAAUUAAAAUGACCGUUGAUCAAACACAUGUAAAACUAUAAAAGCCAAAUUAAGAAAUCAUGAAAAUUAGGGUGCGGAAAAAGACAUAAAUAUGAAGCUGAAGAUGUAAAUGGCAAAAAGUUAUCUGCUUCCAUAUUACAAUUGAUGUUACUUUUGGUACAAUUAUCUGAUGUUGUGUUCGUCCUUUUGGUUUCACUUAUAAAUAAGAGUAAUAAUAUAAGUUGCUUGUGGUACAACUUUCUUAUGCUAUGUUAGUCCUCUCCAACUCUCCCUUCUAAAUAAGGGAUAUAUUAUUUAAUUGUACUAAUAGAAGAUGUUGAAUAAGAUGAUAAUAUCAGUUUUGUUAUUACUAGGA
Molecule: long non-coding RNA, 606 nt
Organism: Solanum pennellii
Lineage: Eukaryota; Viridiplantae; Streptophyta; Magnoliopsida; Solanales; Solanaceae
Exons: 3
Source: RefSeq, a predicted model, not a curated record